AGCUCCAGUAGCGUAUAUUUACGUUGCUGCGUUUAAAAAGCUCGUCGUUGAAUACGUGACACGGGAGAGCGGUCGGCCGGAAACGGUCGCCACUGCUCAGACCGAGCCAGGCUGUCGGUGCCGUCGCGGCUUGCACUUCAUCGUGUGGCCGUGGCGCUCCGGCGUGUUCACCUUGAACAAACUGAUCCGCUCAGAGGAAGCGAUUAGCCUGAACAACUCAGCAUGGUAUGAUGGAACAGGGGCUCGUACUUAUUUUGUUGGUUUUGAAGUACGCGAGCCAAUGGUUAAGAGGGACUGCCGGGGGCAUUCGUACUACAGGGGGAGAGGUGAAAUUCAAAGAUCCUUGUAAGACGACCUACUGCGAAAGCAUUUGCCAAGAAUGUUUUCAUUA
Molecule: ribosomal RNA, 391 nt
Filed under: Paludicella sp.
Lineage: Eukaryota; Metazoa; Bryozoa; Gymnolaemata; Ctenostomatida; Paludicellidae
Description: partial small subunit ribosomal RNA
Rfam family: Eukaryotic small subunit ribosomal RNA
Source: RNAcentral